GAGGAUAUAGCUCAGUGGUAGAGUACAUGCCUAGCAGGCACGAGAUCCUGGGUUCAAUCCCCAGUAUCUCCA
RNAcentral lists this transfer RNA (72 nucleotides) under Camelus bactrianus (Bactrian camel). It matches the Rfam family "tRNA". From Rfam's summary of the family: Transfer RNA (tRNA) molecules are approximately 80 nucleotides in length. Their secondary structure includes four short double-helical elements and three loops (D, anti-codon, and T loops). RNAcentral also lists the same sequence under 2 other names. Lineage: Eukaryota; Metazoa; Chordata; Mammalia; Artiodactyla; Camelidae. The record is from Rfam by way of RNAcentral.